Molecule: long non-coding RNA, 1305 nt
Filed under: Sorghum bicolor (sorghum)
Lineage: Eukaryota; Viridiplantae; Streptophyta; Magnoliopsida; Poales; Poaceae
Description: long non-coding RNA (SBIC_LNC007915)
Source: RNAcentral
CCCAAGCUGAAUUUUGACGUAAUUUGUCUUGAUGUAGCUAACAGGUGGCGGAGGUGUAUUUGAAAGUCGGCAGCAUUCUGACAGCGAUUAGAAUGUCCUCCGUCUGCUAGUCUUCUUGAUUCUUAAAUUCUGUGGAGCUCAAAUAGACAACAAAGCUUGUGGAACUGAUUAAGUGUUAGCAUAAAUAUCUAGCCUUUUUCAUGUUGAGACUCCUUAAUAAAUAUUACUCUCUGUUUUUAUAUUUUUGUUUUUAUAAAGCAGAAAAAUAUUUAUUUUAUUUUUAUGCCACCAUAGUGAAUGUACUUAUGGGUUUUAUGCCACUCGUCUACUCACAUGGGGCUUACUGUUUUUCACAUUUUUAUUUUCUUUUUAAGAUAGUAUGAACUUAAUUAACUAAGUAUCUAUUUGAAAUAAUUGAAAGGGAAAGGAUAACUACCAAGUUUACCUCUUGGCAAGGCGUUCGGUGUUUUUAAGUCCUCCGAACGGGACUCUCCAUUUUCUCAAUUGUCCUGAGGUUCGUUGGGUGGCGUAGUCGGUGCUUCCGGCAGCGCCUCCUCUUCUUGUAUAGUUAUCUUCAUUUUUCAUACCUGACUUGGUGCUUUAAUCUCCUCUGGAUAAUUCUGUUUAAACUCUACGUUUUGUGACCUUAUAACUUCUCCUUCAUAGUCUGCCCAUCCGUCCUUGAUGAUCUGCCUCCUCUGGUUGCGGUUGCAUCGCUUUCUUACCUGUUUAGAUUCUUCAACGAUAUAGUUAGGGUCAGUAAAAUAACGGCGUACCUUCUCUGAGGGGAAGUGCAUAUGGACUUCUCCGGUUCCAAUGUAGAUAAUUGCUUUAACGGUGCUGAGGAACGGUCUUCCAAGGAUGAUGGGUGGAUCGUAUUCAUCUUCUCCCAUGUCAAUAACUUGAAAGUCUGUGUAGACAAAGUGAUCGUCUAUUUUGACUGGAACAUCAGUUACUAUUCCUUAAACUUCUCGAAAUGUCUGAUCUGCCAUCUGGAGCUGAUGGUCUUAGUGGCAUGGUUCCGAACAAGAGCCGAUAGGUGACUGCGGCCAUUAUGUUGACGCCCGAUCCGGUGUCGCAAAUCGUCUUGUAGAAGUUGUAUCCAUUUAUGGAGCAGUAAAUGCUUGGCAUUCUUGGUUCGUCCUUCUUGGUCAAAGAUGGUGACUUAAGUUGGUGAUCUUGGCCUCCAUGGACUACAGUGACCAUCUUAGCUGAUUCGGUCCACACUUGCUUGUUCCUGUUUCUCCUGUUGGUCCUCUUCUUUGAUUUACGUCUGGAUUGAUCUUGAAUUUGUGUAGUCUUGUU